This 224-nucleotide long non-coding RNA is filed under the name Erythranthe guttata (spotted monkey flower). RNAcentral's name for it is "long non-coding RNA (EGUT_LNC001099)". Lineage: Eukaryota; Viridiplantae; Streptophyta; Magnoliopsida; Lamiales; Phrymaceae. The record is from RNAcentral.
CACAGUAUGAAGAAGGAAAAAAAAUUUAGAGAGAGAGUAAAAAGAAGGGUAAGGGAAUAAACGAAAGAAAAGAAGGAAUAUGGGAGGAGAAUAAAAAGAAAUAAAAUAAUAAAAUAAUUGGAGGUGCACAAAUACAAAUGUUUAAGAAGAGUUGAAUAAGAAGAAGGGGGAUGAGUGCUGCGCGUGAGAGAGAGAGAGAGAGAGAGAGGAGAGAGGAGAGAGAG